This is a long non-coding RNA of Pseudophryne corroboree (corroboree frog), 319 nucleotides long. RefSeq lists it as uncharacterized. The record is from RefSeq and is a predicted model, not a curated record. The transcript is spliced from 3 exons. Lineage: Eukaryota; Metazoa; Chordata; Amphibia; Anura; Myobatrachidae.
CCCAGUCUCCUGCGGAGCCCGUCUAUUCCCCCUGGUCCUUACGGAGUUCCCAGCAUCCACUACGGACUACGAGAAAUAGAUUUACCGAAUGAGACACAUGGAAUCACACUUUCCUUUGUAAAAAGACUGCCAGCCUGGCCAAGGAAGACAUAAAGUGAAAGGAGUGGUCGUAUGAGCCAGAUGAACGCGGGUGGGACCUGAAAGACAAGAGACCGAGUGGAUUACGAACCCUAGUGGAAACAGAGGUAAUAACUGCCAAAUCAAAUUUUUUACACUUAUCACAAACAAUACACCUGAUUGUUAUCGGGAUACCAUCCAU